RNAcentral lists this ribosomal RNA (2309 nucleotides) under human gut metagenome. RNAcentral describes it as "bacterial LSU rRNA". It matches the Rfam family "Bacterial large subunit ribosomal RNA", at positions 208 to 2473 of the family's 2925-position model. The record is from RNAcentral.
ACCCGGAGGAAAGGAAAUCAACCGAGACUGCGCGAGUAGCGGCGAGCGAAAGCGCAAGAGCCUAAACCCGUGCGCGUGUAAGCCUCCAGGCGUUGCCGCACGUGGGGUAGUGGGACCCUCCGUCCCGUCGCUGGAGCGGCGGGGUCGGGUCAGAAACCCUCGGUCCAGGGGAACCGGCUGGGAAGCCGGGCGAUACAGGGUGAGAGCCCCGUACCCGAAGGACCGCGGGCCCGAGAGAGGGAUCCCGAGUAAUGCCGGACACGUGAAACCCGGUAUGAAUCUGGGGGGACCACCCUCCAAGGCUAAGCACUCUCCUAUGACCGAUAGCGAACCAGUACCGUGAGGGAAAGGUGAAAAGCACCCCGAGAGGGGAGUGAAACAGUACCUGAAACCGUGUGCCUACAAGCAGUCGGAGCAGCCAUGCGCUGUGACGGCGUGCCUUUUGUAGAAUGAGCCAGCGAGUUGCGGUUGGCGGCGAGGUUAAGGCAAGAACCGAGCCGCAGUGAAAGCGAGCCUUUAAGAUGGCGAUCAGUCGCCAGCCGCAGACGCGAAGCCGGGUGAUCUAUCCAUGGGCAGGCUGAGGCAGAGGUAAGACUCUGUGGAGGGCCGAACCCACUUCGGUUGAAAACGGAGGGGAUGACCUGUGGAUAGGGGUGAAAGGCCAAUCAAACCCGGAGAUAUCUCGUUCUCCCCGAAAUAGCUUUAGGGCUAGCCUCGAUCGCUUACCGACGGUGGUAGAGCACUGGAUCCGUGCGGGGGCCUCACCGCCUACCAACCGAAACCAAACUCCGAAUGCCGUCGGUCCCGAGAUCGGGAGUCAGAACAUGUGGGCUAAGCCGUGUGUUCGAGAGGGAAACAGCCCAGACCGCCUGCUAAGGUCCCCAAAUCAACGCUGAGUGGCAAAGGAUGUGCGUUUGCCUAGACAACCAGGAUGUUGGCUUAGAAGCAGCCAUGCAUUUAAAGAGUGCGUAACAGCUCACUGGUCAAGUGGACAUGCGCCGACAAUACACGGGGCUAAGCGUUGUACCGAAGCAGCGGACUGUUUUAUCAGUGGUAGGGGAGCUUUCCAUGCCGGGGCGAAGCCGACGGGCGACCGUCGGUGGACUGCAUGGAAGUGAGAAUGCUGGCAUGAGUAACGAGAGAGGGGCGAGAAACCCCUCCGCCGUAAGCCUAAGGGUUCCUGGGCAAGGCUAAUCCCCCCAGGGUCAGUCGGGAGCUAAGGCGAGGCCGACAGGCGUAGCCGAUGCACAACAGGCGGACAUUCCUGUACCACCGCGGAGCGUUACUACGACGGGGUGACGGAGAAGGGUAGCCGGGCGGGGUUCUGGACGUCCCCGUGAAAGCGCGUAGGCCGCAGGGCAGGCAAAUCCGCCCUGCAGCGAGGCCGAGACGUUAGACGAAGCUUCAUGUGAAGCCGGCGAGCCCAUGCUUCCGAGAAAAACCUCUAAGGAGCGAGGCGGUGCCCGUACCAAAACCGACACAGGUAGGCGGGUAGAGCAUACCAAGGCGAUCGGGAGAACCAUGGUUAAGGAACUCGGCAUACUGACUCCGUAACUUCGGGAGAAGGAGUGCCCCCGCCUGUGAGGUCCCACGCGGACGGAGCGGGAGGGGGUCGCAGCGAAACGGCCCAAGCGACUGUUUACCAAAAACACAGGACUCUGCAAAGCCGCAAGGCGACGUAUAGGGUCUGACGCCUGCCCGGUGCUGGAAGGUUACGCGGAUGAGUUAGCGCAAGCGAAGCCCUGAAGCCAAGCCCCAGUAAACGGCGGCCGUAACUAUAACGGUCCUAAGGUAGCGAAAUUCCUUGUCGGGUAAGUUCCGACCUGCACGAAUGGCGUAACGACUUGGGCGCUGUCUCAACCAUGGACCCGGUGAAAUUGUAUUAUUCGUGAAGAUGCGAAUUACCUGCGGAAGGACGGAGAGACCCCGUGAACCUUUACUGCAGCUUGGCAUUGGCUGUUGGUGCGGUGCGUAGAGGAUAGGCAGGAGCCUGCGAACCGGGAACGCCAGUUCCCGGGGAGGCGCCCUUGGAAUACUGCCCUCACCGCAUCGGCAGCCUAACGCGCCGCCCUCAUCGGGGGCGCGGACCGUGCCAGGUGGGUAGUUUGACUGGGGCGGUCGCCUCCUAAACUGUAACGGAGGCGUGCGAAGGUUCGCUCAGGGCGGUUGGCAAUCGCCCGCAGAGCACAAGAGUACAAGCGAGCCUGACUGCGAGACCAACAAGUCGAGCAGAGACGAAAGUCGGUUCUAGUGAUCCGGCGGCCCAGCGUGGAAUGGCCGUCGCUCAACGGAUAAAAGGUACUCCGGGG